AUGGAGCACGCCGCGUGAGUGAAGAAGGGUUUCGGCUCGUAAAACUCUGUUGUUAAAGAAGAACAUAUCUGAGAGUAACUGUUCAGGUAUUGACGGUAUUUAACCAGAAAGCCACGGCUAACUACGUGCCAGCAGCCGCGGUAAUACGUAGGUGGCAAGCGUUGUCCGGAUUUAUUGGGCGUAAAGCGAGCGCAGGCGGUUUUUUAAGUCUGAUGUGAAAGCCUUCGGCUCAACCGAAGAAGUGCAUCGGAAACUGGGAAACUUGAGUGCAGAAGAGGACAGUGGAACUCCAUGUGUAGCGGUGAAAUGCGUAGAUAUAUGGAAGAACACCAGUGGCGAAGGCGGCUGUCUGGUCUGUAACUGACGCUGAGGCUCGAAAGUAUGGGUAGCAAACAGGAUUAGAUACCCUGGUAGUCCAUACCGUAAACGAUGAAUGCUAAGUGUUGGAGGGUUUCCGCCCUUCAGUGCUGCAGCUAACGCAUUAAGCAUUCCGCCUGGGGAGUACGGCCGCAAGGCUGAAACUCAAAGGAAUUGACGGGGGCCCGCACAAGCGGUGGAGCAUGUGGUUUAAUUCGAAGCUACGCGAAGAACCUUACCAGGUCUUGACAUACUAUGCAAAUCUAAGAGAUUAGACGUUCCCUUCGGGGACAUGGAUACAGGUGGUGCAUGGUUGUCGUCAGCUCGUGUCGUGAGAUGUUGGGUUAAGUCCCGCAACGAGCGCAACCCUUAUUAUCAGUUGCCAGCAUUAAGUUGGGCACUCUGGUGAGACUGCCGGUGACAAACCGGAGGAAGGUGGGGAUGACGUCAAAUCAUCAUGCCCCUUAUGACCUGGGCUACACACGUGCUAC
This 848-nucleotide ribosomal RNA is filed under the name Lactiplantibacillus plantarum. RNAcentral's name for it is "bacterial SSU rRNA". It matches the Rfam family "Bacterial small subunit ribosomal RNA", at positions 386 to 1228 of the family's 1533-position model. The record is from RNAcentral. Lineage: Bacteria; Bacillati; Bacillota; Bacilli; Lactobacillales; Lactobacillaceae.